CUGGAGGUAUCAGAAGUGCGAAUGCUGACAUAAGUAACGAUAAAGCGGGUGAAAAGCCCGCUCGCCGGAAGACCAAGGGUUCCUGUCCAACGUUAAUCGGGGCAGGGUGAGUCGACCCCUAAGGCGAGGCCGAAAGGCGUAGUCGAUGGGAAACAGGUUAAUAUUCCUGUACUUGGUGUUACUGCGAAGGGGGGACGGAGAAGGCUAUGUUGGCCGGGCGACGGUUGUCCCGGUUUAAGCGUGUAGGCUGGUUUUCCAGGCAAAUCCGGAAAAUCAAGGCU
RNAcentral lists this ribosomal RNA (281 nucleotides) under Escherichia coli. RNAcentral describes it as "partial 23S ribosomal RNA". It matches the Rfam family "Bacterial large subunit ribosomal RNA", at positions 1273 to 1557 of the family's 2925-position model. Lineage: Bacteria; Pseudomonadati; Pseudomonadota; Gammaproteobacteria; Enterobacterales; Enterobacteriaceae. RNAcentral also lists the same sequence under 1 other name. The record is from RNAcentral.